Long non-coding RNA from Centruroides sculpturatus (bark scorpion), 679 nucleotides. RefSeq lists it as uncharacterized. The record is from RefSeq and is a predicted model, not a curated record. The transcript has 3 exons. Lineage: Eukaryota; Metazoa; Arthropoda; Arachnida; Scorpiones; Buthidae.
AUGUAUUAAUUAAAUGUGGAUUCUUACUGGGCUACAAUAAGGCUAAUUAAUAAGGCUCAAGUAUCUAUUUCUAACCAAAUUGCUUACUAUCUUAUUAAUUAAUUAAUUAGCUCUAUUGUAACUCAAUAAUAAUGUGGAUGUAUUGUUUGAGUAAUAAAAUUUAUUGAAUUCUUUGUAUACAUAAUAAUUGAACUGAUCAAGCAAAGUGAGUAAAGCCCAUUUCAUUAUACUCAAAUAGUAUAUUUAAAUAAAUUCCUCUGAAACAGCUUGAGUGAUCUCAACCAAAUUUCGUAUGGACAUCAAGUUCAGAGUCUGCGCUGGCCCUAACAAGAGCAAAGGAAACACUAAACUUCUUUCUUGAAUAUAAAAUUUAGAACAUAUGGAAGCUCAGUAGAACUAUAUAGUUCUACCUUGUUAUUUUACCUGAAGAUGCCCUUCAAACAAAGCCAAAAAUGUUUGUGUUCAAAAACUCAACAUGCUAGAAGUUGUAUGGAAGAGGGAUGCCUACUUAAUCUUUACCAUAAUCUCUUUUUGAUAAAAUAAAAACAUUUAUAAUUUCCAUAUUCAUAUUAUUAAAUUUCAUAUUUAUAUAUGGCUGUUCAAAAAUCUGCAAUUAACAGUCUGAUAAUGAAACCAAAAUAACUUUGAUAAUCUUUAAAAAUAUUUAUUAACUGACUCC